RNAcentral lists this ribosomal RNA (673 nucleotides) under bacterium YG-26. RNAcentral's name for it is "bacterial SSU rRNA". It matches the Rfam family "Bacterial small subunit ribosomal RNA", at positions 768 to 1440 of the family's 1533-position model. The record is from RNAcentral.
UUUACCAGGGAUUUAUUACCUUGGUAUUCCACGCUGUAAAGGAUGUCGACUUGGAGGUUGUUCCCUUGAGGAGUGGCUUCGGGAGCUAACGCGUUAAGUCGACCCCCUGGGGAGUACGGCCCCAAGGUUAAAAUUCAAAUGAAUUGACGGGGGCCCGCCCAAGCGGUGGAGCAUGUGGUUUAAUUGGAUGCAACGGGAAGACCCUUACCUACUCUUGACAUCCAGAGAACUUAGCAGAGAUGCUUUGGUCCUUUCGGGAACUUUGAGCCAGGUCCGCCAGGGCGUUGUUCAGUUCGUGUUGUGAAAUGUUGGGUUAAUUCCCGCAAGGAGCCCAACCUUUUUCUUUUGUUCCCACCGGUUAGGCCGGGAACUCAAAGGAGACUGCCAGUGAUAAACCGGAGGAAGGUGGGGAUGACGUCAAGUCAUCAUGGCCCUUACGAGUAGGGCUACACACGUGCUACAAUGGCAUAUACAAAGAGAAGCGACCUCGCGAGAGCAAGCGGACCUCAUAAAGUAUGUCGUAGUCCGGAUUGGAGUCUGCAACUCGACUCCAUGAAGUCGGAAUCGCUAGUAAUCGUGGAUCAGAAUGCCACGGUGAAUACGUUCCCGGGCCUUGUACACACCGCCCGUCACACCAUGGGAGUGGGUUGCAAAAGAAGUAGGUAGUCUUAAC